This 2345-nucleotide long non-coding RNA is filed under the name Anolis carolinensis (green anole). RNAcentral describes it as "lncRNA (ENSACAG00000042451.1)". Lineage: Eukaryota; Metazoa; Chordata; Lepidosauria; Squamata; Anolidae. The record is from RNAcentral.
AUGCCAGUCUCAUGGCUGUGUUCCUCCAGUAGCAAAUACAAACCAUAAGUGCUUGAAAGUUUUUGCUGUCAAGUUGUCCAUCAAAAACACCCCAAAGACACUGUGGAAUCCAAUAAACUCUCCAAGCCAAGGUUUCAUACUGUAUCACACAGGUAAAGGUAUAGGUUUCUCCUGACAUUAAGUCCAGUCACGUCUGACUCUGGGGGUUGGUGCUCAUCUCCAUUUCUAAGCCAAAGAGCCGGCGUUGUCCGUAGACACCUCCAAGGUCAUGUGGCCAGCAUGACUGCAUGGAGCGCCGUUACCUUCCCGCCGGAGCGGUGCCUAUUGAUCUACUCACAUUGGCAUGUUUUUGAACUGCUAGGUUGGCAGAAGCUGGAGCAACAGCGGGCGCUCACUCCGCUCCCGGGAUUUGAACCUGCGACUUUUCGGUCUCAGUUACUUUAUCGGGGAAUACCAGAAGGGGAGAUGAGAAGGCCAUUCAAUCAGUUCUGCCAGAAGACCAGACCGGCUAUGUGAAAACUACAAGCUUUUGUUCCUUUUGACUACAGCUGAGAUAGGACUUUGAGGUACCACUAUUAGCUUUUUUGAGAGACCAGUUCCAUUUGACUUCUUGGUUUUUUUAAUAACUGUUUGGUGUUGUGUAACUUCAAGUCAUUUCUGUCUUCUGGCAACCCUAAGAAGAACCUUUAAUGGGGUUUCUUGGUUCUGAGUCUUGCCAAGGGUCAACUAUUGGGUUUUCAUGGCCAAGCAAGAGUUUGAAUUGUGUUCUCCAGAGUUGUAGUCCAAUGCUCAAACCACUACACCAUUUGGCUAAUUCUUGAAUUUACCAUUUGAAUAAGGUAAACUGGCUGGGAUUUUUGGGAAUUGCAAGCUAAAACACUUGGGGACCCAAAGGUUAAGAACCACUGCUGUAGGAUCUGGUGUCUUGUUUUCCUCUUUCCUCCCCUUUCUGUUUUCCCUUUACACCUGCCAUUCUUGUUGCCAUUAAACACUGACUUUUAUCCAAUGAGCCUAAUGAUAAAAACGUUACAAAAAUACACCCCUUGUCCAGAAUUCCAAAAUCUGAAAUACUCCAAAAUUGCUUACAGAUAGUGACAGCUUGGCUUUCUGAUGGUUCGAUGUACACAAACUUUGUUUUAUGAACUGAAUUAUUUAAAAUAUUGUAUAUAAAAUUACCUUCCAGCUGUGAGUAAAAUUGUACAUAAAACAUAAAUAUCACAUUUAGACAUUGGUCUCAUCUCUGAGAUAGCUCAUUAUGGAUAUGCAAGUUUUUCAACAUGUGAAAAAAUAAGAAAUAUAGAACACUUCUGGUCCAAAUCAACCUGUAAUAAUACAGGUUGAUUAAUAAUACAGUUUGAUAGCCACCCAUAUGGAUAAUUUUGAAAUGGUUUGAUUUCUGGCCAAAGGGCACUCAAGCUAUACUGCUAAAAUACAUGCCAACAAACUCAUCAGCCAUUAAGUAAAUGUGAUUCAUUUCCAGUUUACAAUUCCCUUCUGUGCCCCCAGAAAUAAAGUACACUGACUUUAAGAGAAACAACGUAUUACCUUUCUAGUAGAUGAGCCAGCAGAUUAAUGAUAGGAAACAGAAUGUUUUAUGCAAUGCCAACAUGAUUGCCUCUCGAAAUUAGGAUAAUUGACAACUGGUGGAGUUAAUUUGUCAUAGCACUAAAUAGAGUUGACAUGGAGGUGGGGGGAUGAGGCAUUCUUGAUUGUUUCUUUCCCCCCUUCAGCGGAAUAUGAUCAAUGGGUGCUUCAAAACACAGGCUGUAGAUAAUAGAAAACCAUUUGGACUUUCUCCCCCGCCCCUCUUGGAAAUAGCUUAUAGAGAUCAAAAGGGCUUCUUAUUAAUUUCUCAUGUGCUUUCAUUAGUCUAGUGUCAUUUGUUUCAUUAGUUAUGUGCUGUUUCACAUUGAUGCCAAUCACAGCAAACUAAUAACCCUGUGAAAUUGUGCCCAUUAUAAAAAUAGUUAUUUGGAUCAUUUGUAUUUGGGAAUAAGUGAUGAAAUGCAGAUGAUUUGUUCAGUUAUGCUCAGGAGUCAGGACAUUCACGAAAAAGGAUAUAAGCUGUGUGAUAAGGAGUGAGGGGUAAUAUAAUAAAUACAUCACCUGUCACACUGCCCAGUCCCUUCCAGGAAGUUCUUGUAUUUUGUUAACAUUUCCAGGACAUAUAAAAUCGACAAAGUGGACAAACUAAUUUCAUCACCAUGCUGGAAGGGCAUCUUAAUUCUAAAUUAAGAUGCCAUGGAUUGAGCUGGAUCUUGGGCAGAGUAAUAAAGAGGUAAGAUUAGGGAUGUCUGAACAAAAUGAUUCUCCAAGCCCCCCCCCCCCCGAUUUUGCACCUCCCG